Molecule: ribosomal RNA, 1313 nt
Filed under: uncultured bacterium
Lineage: Bacteria
Description: bacterial SSU rRNA
Rfam family: Bacterial small subunit ribosomal RNA
Source: RNAcentral
GAUGAAUGCUGCGCUUCGUGCCUAACACAUGCAAGUCGAGCGGCAGCGCGAGUAGUUUACUACUUGGCGGCGAGCGGCGGACGGCUGACUCACGCGUAGGAAUGUGCCCCAAAGUGAGGAAUAACUGCCCGAAAGGGUGGCUAAUGCCGCAUAUGAUCUUCGGAUUAAAGGAUUUAUCCGCUUUGGGAGCAGCCUGCGUACGAUUAGAUAGUUGGUGAGGUAAUGGCUCACCAAGUCGACGAUCGUUAGCUGGUCUGAGAGGAUGACCAGCCAGACUGGAACUGAGACACGGUCCAGACUCCUACGGGAGGCAGCAGUGAGGAAUCUUCCACAAUGGGCGAAAGCCUGAUGGAGCAACGCCGCGUGAAGGAUGAAGGCCCUCGGGUUGUAAACUUCUUUUAUAAGUGAAGAAUAUGACGGUAACUUAUGAAUAAGCACCGGCUAACUACGUGCCAGCAGCCGCGGUCAUACGUAGGGUGCAAGCAUUAUCCGGAGUGACUGGGCGUAAAGAGUUGCGUAGGUGGUUUGUUAGUGAAUAGUGAAAUCUGGUGGCUCAACCAUUCAGGCUAUUAUUCAAACUGGCAGACUCGAGAAUGGUAGAGGUAACUGGAAUUUCUUGUGUAGGAGUGAAAUCCGUAGAUAUAAGAAGGAACACCAAUGGCGUAGGCAGGUUACUGGACCAUUUCUGACACUGAGGCACGAAAGCGUGGGGAGCGAACCGGAUUAGAUACCCGGGUAGUCCACGCCGUAAACGAUGGAUACUAGCUGUUGGAGGUAUCGACCCCUUCAGUAGCGAAGCUAACGCGUUAAGUAUCCCGCCUGUGGAGUACGGCCGCAAGGCUAAAACAUAAAGGAAUUGACGGGGACCCGCACAAGCGGUGGAUUAUGUUCUUUAAUUCGAUGAUAAACGAAGAACCUUACCAGGGUUUGACAUCCUUGGAAUUACUCCGAAAGGAGUGAGUGCUUUAUUGAGCCAAGUGACAGAUGUUGCAUGGCCGUCGUCAGCUCGUGUCGUGAGAUGUUUGGUUAAGUCCAUCAACGAGCGCAACCCUUGUCUUCAGUUGUAUUUUUCUGGAGAUACUGCCCCGGUAACGGGGAGGAAGGAGGGGAUGAUGUCAGGUCAGUAUUACUCUUACAUCCUGGGCUAGAAACGUAAUACAAUGGCUGGUACAAUGCGCAGCGAAGCCGCGAGGUGAAGCAAAUCGCAUCAAAGCCAGUCCCAGUUCGGAUUGGAGGCUGAAACUCGCCUCCAUGAAGUCGGAAUCGCUAGUAAUCGCAAGUCAGCAAAUUGCGGUGAAUACGUUCCCGGGUCU